GGGUGAGUAGUGUAUAGGUAAUAUGCCUCUUACUAAGGGAUAACAAUUGGAAACGAUUGCUAAUACCUUAUACUCCUUAUUAACCUAAGUUAAUAAGGGAAAGAUUUAUUGGUAAGAGAUUAGCCUGUAUUGUAUCAGUUAGUUGGUGGGGUAAUGGCCUACCAAGACUAUGACACAUAACUGGUUUGAGAGGAUGAUCAGUCACACUGGAACUGAGACACGGUCCAGACUCCUACGGGAGGCAGCAGUGGGGAAUAUUGCACAAUGGACGAAAGUCUGAUGCAGCAACGCCGCGUGGAGGAUGACACAUUUCGGUGCGUAAACUCCUUUUAUAUGAGAAGAUAAUGACGGUAUUAUAUGAAUAAGCACCGGCUAACUCCGUGCCAGCAGCCGCGGUAAUACGGGGGGUGCAAGCGUUACUCGGAAUCACUGGGCGUAAAGAGCAUGUAGGCGGAUUGAUAAGUUUGAAGUGAAAUCCUAUAGCUUAACUAUAGAACUGCUUUGAAAACUGUUAAUCUAGAAUGUGGGAGAGGUAGAUGGAAUUUCUGGUGUAGGGGUAAAAUCCGUAGAGAUCAGAAGGAAUACCGAUUGCGAAGGCGAUCUACUGGAACAUUAUUGACGCUGAGAUGCGAAAGCGUGGGGAGCAAACAGGAUUAGAUACCCUGGUAGUCCACGCCCUAAACGAUGUACACUAGUUGUUGUGAGACUUGAUCUUGCAGUAAUGCAGUUAACACAUUAAGUGUACCGCCUGGGGAGUACGGUCGCAAGAUUAAAACUCAAAGGAAUAGACGGGGACCCGCACAAGCGGUGGAGCAUGUGGUUUAAUUCGACGAUACACGAAGAAYCUUACCUGGACUUGACAUAGUAAGAACUUUCUAGAGAUAGAUUGGUGUCUGCUUGCAGAAACUUAUAUACAGGUGCUGCA
This 925-nucleotide ribosomal RNA is filed under the name uncultured bacterium. RNAcentral describes it as "bacterial SSU rRNA". It matches the Rfam family "Bacterial small subunit ribosomal RNA", at positions 104 to 1045 of the family's 1533-position model. The record is from RNAcentral.